RNAcentral lists this ribosomal RNA (1556 nucleotides) under human gut metagenome. Its description in RNAcentral is "bacterial LSU rRNA". It matches the Rfam family "Bacterial large subunit ribosomal RNA", at positions 829 to 2461 of the family's 2925-position model. The record is from RNAcentral.
CCAAUCGAACUCGGAGAUAGCUGGUUCUCCCCGAAAUAGCUUUAGGGCUAGCGUUGAUUUAGAUUACCGGAGGUAAAGCACUGAAUGGGCUAGGGGGCGAUAAGCUUACUGAACCCUAUCAAACUCUGAAUGCCGGCUAAUUGAUGAUCAGCAGUCAGACAGUGUGAGAUAAGUUUCAUUGUCAAAAGGGAAACAGCCCAGACCUACAGCUAAGGUCCCAAAUGUAUGCUAAGUGGAAAACGAUGUGGAGUUGCGAAAACAACCAGGAUGUUGGCUUAGAAGCAGCCAUUCAUUAAAAGAGUUCGUAAUAGAUCACUGGUCGAGUGACUCUGCGCGGAAAAUAUAACGGGGCUAAGUAUGCAACCGAAGCUUAGGAUGUCCGCAAGGGCGUGGUAGGGGAGCGUCGUGUACGGGGUGAAGUCGCAGCGGAAGCAGCGGUGGACUGUACAGGAGUGAGAAUGCCGGAAUGAGUAGCGAGAAUUAUGUGGGAAUCAUAAUGGCCGAAAAUCUAAGGUUUCUUGGGGAAGGUUCGUCCGCCCAAGGUAAGUCGGGAGCUAAGCUCAGGCCGAGAGGCGUAGGCGAUGCACAUACGGUAGAAAUUCCGUAACCACCGAAACUUAAACAGAGGGACACUUCGAAAUAGCGGAACCCGGGCGUUGGUUGACCCGGGCGUAAGGGAGCGAAAUUAGAGUAGCGAAGUCCGCGAUGUUCGGAGGCGAGAAAAGCUCUGAGGUAUGCUAAGGUGCCCGUACCGCAAACCGACACAGGUAGAUGAGGAGAGAAUCCUAAGGCCAACGGGAGAAGGGUUGUUAAGGAACUCGGCAAAUUGACCCCGUAACUUCGGAAGAAGGGGAGCCCCCUACGGGGGGUCGCAGAGAAAUGGCCCAAGCAACUGUUUACCAAAAACACAGGUCUAUGCUAAAUCGAAAGAUGACGUAUAUGGGCUGACGCCUGCCCGGUGCCGGAAGGUUAAGAGGAGAGCUUAGCGCAAGCGAAGGUUUGAAUUGAAGCCCCGGUAAACGGCGGCCGUAACUAUAACGGUCCUAAGGUAGCGAAAUUCCUUGUCAGGUAAGUUCUGACCCGCAUGAAAGGCGUAAUGAUUUGGGCACUGUCUCAACAGCCCGCCCGGCGAAAUUGUAGUACUGGUGAAGAUGCCAGUUACCCGCAACUAGACGGAAAGACCCCAUGGAGCUUUACUGCAGCUUAAUACUGAAAUUCGGUAGUACAUGUACAGGAUAGGUGGGAGACUGAGAAAUACAGGCGUCAGCUUGUGUGGAGUCGCUGUUGGGAUACCACUCUUGUACUGCUGGGUUUCUAACCUGCGGCCGUGAAUCCGGUCGGGGGACACUGUUAGGCGGGCAGUUUGACUGGGGCGGUCGCCUCCCAAAAGGUAACGGAGGCGCUCAAAGGUUCGUUCAGCACGGACGGAAAUCGUGCAAUGAGUGUAAACGCAUAAACGAGCCUAACUGCGAGACCGACGGGUCGAGCAGUAACGAAAGUUGGAGUUAGUGAUCCGGUGGUAUGUGAGUGGAAAUGCCAUCGCUCAACGGAUAAAA